GGUUAAUCCUAGAGGGACCUGGCACCCAGACCACUUCAUUAAGCUGAAGUGGUCUGGGUGCAUAGAGUGGUCCUUUAACUUCAGGCUUUUUGCUGUAAGCACUGUUUUUUCAGAGAAAAUGUGGUGGUUACAUAACAGCCUAGUGAUAACUUCACUGGCCACUCCUUAGAUGGUUGUUAGAGAUCCUUCCUGGGUCAUGGCUGCCUAAAAUGCAUCCAAACAUUGUCUCCUCCCUCUGCAUGCAGACACUGAACUUUCCUCAUAGAUAUGCAUUGAUUCAAUUCAACUCUAUAAGGAGAUGCUGAUUGGCCAGGGUUGUGUUUGAAUCAUGCUGGCUCUGCCCCUGAUCUGCCCUUUGUCAGUCUCAGCCAAUCCUAUGGGGACGCAUUGUGAUUAACUUAGGCUACCACUUCUGCUGAUGUCAGCAGGCAGUGGGCAGGUCUGAAGGAAACCGGGACAGAGCCAGCAGCUCCAGAUUUGAAUAAAAGUAAGAUUUCUAUAUUUAGGGAGUCAUGAGGGACUCGAGGUGGCUCGAUGGUGGUUUUAACACUAUAGGGUCAGGAAUACAUGUUUGUGUUCCUGACCCUAUAGUGCUACUUUAACCAUGUGCACUACCCUAACUUUGUACUGUCCCUUAAAACCCUUAUUCUACAAUAACCCUAGCAUAAAAUGUAAUAUAAAAGAUGCAUGUCAAAGAAUGUUUUUUGGGGUAAUUUACUGCUUUCUCUGAGUUCUGAGGACAUUUAAAAACAAAGAUAAAACCACUGAACUGUUAGCAUAAUUUAUUACGAUAAUUUGAGAAUUCCUUAAUAGUGCAGGCAAUGAAAGCGUUUCUAUAUAGAACGAAAUGGACAUACACAGUGCGGGUAUCUGUUCUCAAACUAUGUUAAAAUAAUAUGACAAAAUGACAAACUACACUGAGACAGUGCCAAUGCAGUACUGGCACCAUAACCAUCAGUGAGCUGUUCUGUUCUAGUGACAGGAGUUAUUCUUUACGAUAAAUGCAAGAAAGAAAUUGGAACACUUUCAAAAGUGUCUCCUUUGGGGAGUUCAAAAACCUGUUCCAUUUUAAAACUAGUAUGAAAAUUUUCUAUUUUUCUUUGUAUAAUACAACAGAUAAUUGUGCCAUACCCAAACAGAGAAGCAUAGCCACAACACAAAAAUCGACACACAUGCCCACACGAUCUAGUGGCCUAACGCAGAAUGCAUAAACAAUGCCCCACCAGCAAGCCCAAUGCUAAGAGCCCAGCCGGACUUGACUUAGGACCCCGACUAAACCUCUAUACAAAGUCUGUCCCUAUGCUAUUGACCAUUACAAAAUUUUUGAAAAAAUACCCGUUAUAAGGGUUUAUAUAAUUUAAUGAUGCUUGUUACAUGUCAGCUGCCAAUGUUUAACCUGUACUGUUACCAUGUUGCUCCAAAAUAAAGAAUGUAAAAAAAA
Non-coding RNA from Pelobates cultripes (western spadefoot toad), 1441 nucleotides. NCBI's taxonomy places the organism in Eukaryota, Metazoa, Chordata, Amphibia, Anura, Pelobatidae. The record is from the annotation of a GenBank genome assembly.